CUAAGUUGGCAACACUGGUUUAGACUCGGACCAAAGCCCGAUGAGUCGCUGAUAUGCGCAUGCGUGAACCAAACACUUGAAUGAAGGGAAGUAAAGUAAUGUUUUUAUGGUUUCUCAUUGUUUAUGCAA
This is a long non-coding RNA of Sinocyclocheilus grahami, 129 nucleotides long. RefSeq lists it as uncharacterized. The transcript is spliced from 3 exons. NCBI's taxonomy places the organism in Eukaryota, Metazoa, Chordata, Actinopteri, Cypriniformes, Cyprinidae. The record is from RefSeq and is a predicted model, not a curated record.